This is a non-coding RNA of Theobroma umbraticum, 5222 nucleotides long. Lineage: Eukaryota; Viridiplantae; Streptophyta; Magnoliopsida; Malvales; Malvaceae. The record is from RefSeq and is a predicted model, not a curated record.
UCCGAAACCCAAAAAACGGAAAAAAAAAAAAAAAAAAAAAAAAAAAAAAAAAAAAAAAAGAAGAAAGAAAGAAGAAAAAGAGAAUUUAAUUGUCGUAGAAUUCCCUCUCUUAAUCGUUUUGGCUAUCAUCACGAGAAUCCUCCAAAAGCAAAGAGAAAAAACCUACACAUCUGAAGAACACAGUUUUCUUUUCCUUGCUCGAAAAAUAGCUUGCUUAGGAAGAGUUAGUUCCUGCUUUUUAAUCUUUUACAAUUUAGGGAGUUCAAGAGAGCGACUGUGUUGGAAAUUAUCUUCAUUACCGUGCCUUUGUCUGCAAGUAACGUGAAUUUACUCGGAAAAUUCUUUUCGGUGGUGAUCUGUUGGAGAGGAAUUCUUUUUGGAGAUAAUCGAAGUUCGAAAGCAUGAUUCGUUCGUGAAAAUAAAGAAAAAUAAAAUAAAAUAAAAUAAAAGAGAAAAAGGUUUUUGUUUUGUUUGGAGCAAGAGAUGAAGCGGUCUAGAGAUGAGGUUUACAUCGGCGGCUCUCAACUUAAAAGACCGGUGGUUACUUCUCGAGGAGAAGGCUCUGGGCAACCACAGAUGGUGGGAGGGGUGGGAAGUACGCAGAAACUGACAACAAAUGAUGCGUUAGCAUAUCUCAAAGCUGUCAAAGACAUAUUUCAAGAUAAAAGGGAGAAAUAUGAUGACUUUCUUGAAGUAAUGAAAGACUUCAAGGCUCAAAGAAUUGACACUGCAGGUGUCAUAGCAAGGGUGAAGGAAUUAUUUAAAGGGUAUCGAGACCUAAUUUUGGGUUUCAAUACCUUUUUGCCUAAGGGAUAUGAGAUCACACUCCCACAAGAGGAUGAACCUACCCAAAAGAAGCCAGUGGAGUUUGAAGAAGCUAUUAAUUUUGUGAACAAGAUUAAGACAAGGUUUCAAGGUGAUGACCAUGUCUAUAAGUCAUUUUUAGACAUUUUGAACAUGUAUAGGAAAGAAAACAAGUCUAUCACUGAGGUCUACCAGGAGGUUGCUACUCUUUUCCAAGACCAUCCAGAUCUGCUUUCGGAGUUCACUCAUUUUCUGCCCGAUACCUCGGCAACAGCAUCUAAUCAUUAUGCUUCCUCUGGCAGAAACAUACCCCGAGACAGGAUCUCUGCUAUGCCUACAAUGCGUGCAGUGCAUGCUGACAAGAAAGAUAGGACUACAGCUUCACAUGCUGACCGUGACCUCAGUGUGGAACACCCUGAUCCAGAUCACAAUAGAGCUAUGAUGAAAGUAGAAAAAGAGCAACGGAGACGUGGCGAAAAGGAAAGGGACAAGAGAGAAGACAGAGAUAGGAGAGACCGAGAACAGGAUGAUCGAGACUUUGAAAAUGAUGGCAACAGAGACUUCAACAUGCGGUUUCCGCAUAAACGGAGUGCAAAACCUGUUCGUAAGGGUGAAGACUCAGGUGUUGAACAAUUGCAGCAAGGUGGGGAUGGCGCCACAUAUGAUGAUAAAAAUGCAAUGAAAAGUGUGUAUUAUCAGGAGUUUGCUUUCUGCGAAAAAGUGAAGGAGAAGUUACGAAAUCCUGAACAUUGGCAGGAAUUUUUGAGGUGCCUUCAUCUCUAUAGCAAUGAAGUAAUCUCGCGCACAGAAUUGCAAUCAUUGGUCAAUGAUUUGCUUGAAAGAUACCCAGAUCUGAUGGAUGGAUUCAAUGAGUUGUUGGUGCGAUGUGAGAAGAAUGAGGGAUUGCUUGCUGAUUUUGUUAGUCAAAAGUUAUUGCGGAAUGAAGGCCAGUUACCUAGAUCAGUUAAGAUGGAGGACAGGGAUAGAGAUCAGGAUCGUGAAAGGGUUGAUGGGGCCAAAGAUAGAGACCGUGAAACCCGAGAAAGGGAUAGACUUGAUAAAAGUUCCUUUGGCAAUAAAGAUGCAGGAAGUCAUAAGGUUUCUUUAUUUUCCAGCAAGGAUAAGUACAUGGGAAAACCCAUUAAUGAACUUGACCUCUCUAACUGUGAACGCUGCACUCCUAGUUAUCGACUGCUCCCAAAGAAUUAUCCAAUACCUUCUGCAAGCCAGAGAACAGAGCUUGGUUCUGAAGUUCUCAAUGAUCAUUGGGUUUCUGUCACUUCAGGGAGUGAGGACUACUCUUUCAAACACAUGCGCAAAAACCAGUAUGAAGAAAGCCUAUUUCGAUGCGAAGAUGACAGGUUUGAGCUGGAUAUGUUGUUAGAGUCUGUGAAUGUAACAACCAAGCGAGUGGAAGAACUAUUAGAAAAGAUUAACAAUAAUACUAUCAAACUAGACAGUCCAAUUCGUAUUGAGGAGCACUUCACAGCUCUGAAUCUUAGGUGCAUUGAACGUUUGUACGGUGACCAUGGACUUGAUGUGAUGGAUGUAUUAAGGAAGAAUGCCCAUCUUGCUUUGCCAGUUAUUUUAACCCGCUUGAAGCAGAAACAAGAAGAAUGGGCAAGAUGUCGUUCUGAUUUUAAUAAAGUUUGGGCUGAAAUUUAUGCUAAGAAUUAUCAUAAAUCGCUUGAUCACCGUAGCUUCUAUUUUAAGCAGCAGGAUUCGAAGAACUUAGGCACAAAAGCUUUAUUGGCUGAGAUCAAAGAAAUCAGUGAGAAGAAGCGCAAAGAAGAUGAUGUGCUUCUUGCUAUUGCUGCUGGAAACAGACGACCUAUUAUUCCAAAUUUGGAGUUUGAAUACCCUGAUCCUGAAAUUCAUGAAGAUCUAUAUCAGCUCAUAAAAUAUUCCUGUGGAGAAAUGUGUACAACUGAACAGUUGGAUAAAAUAAUGAAAAUAUGGACCACCUUCUUGGAACCCAUGCUUGGCGUUCCUUCCCGUCCUCAUGGAGCUGAGGACACUGAAGAUGUUGUGAAGGCUAAGAACAACAAUGUCAAAAAUGGUAGUGCUAUUGUUGGUGAGAGUGAAGGGAGCCCUGGCGGAGGUGCUGUUGCCAUGAAUUCCAAACAUACAAAUCCUUCCAGAAAUGGUGAUGAAAGUAUUCCACCUGAGCAAUCAAGUUCUUGUAGGUCUUGGUUGCUGAAUGGAGAUAAUGGCAUCAAGCAAGAUGGUUCUGCUAAUACGGAUCAUGUUGAUCACAAGAAUGAUUCCUCCUGUGAUGCUCCUCAUCAAGAUAGAGUGCAGCAGGUUAAUCCAGCUAAUGGUGAUGAAAUAUCAGGGGUCAGCAAGCAAGCCAGUUCUAGUGAACGAUUGGUCAAUCCAAAUGCAUCUCUUGUUGCUGGAGUAGAGCAAAGCAAUGGAAGAACUAGCAUAGAGAAUACUUCAGGUCUUAGUGCUAAUCCAUCCAGACCUGGUAAUGCUGCCAUUGAGGGUGGACUUGAGUUGAAGUCAAGUAAUGAAAAUUUACCUUCAUCAGAGGGUGGCGAUUGUUCUAGACCAAUCUCAUCCGGAAAUGGGAUGGUGACUGAAGGCAUUAAAAGUCACAGAUAUAACGAAGAAUCAGCUGGGCAACUUAAAGUUGAAAGGGAAGAAGGUGAGUUAUCCCCAAAUGGGGAUUUUGAGGAAGACAAUUUUGCUGAUUAUGGAGAAGCUGGUCUGGGGACUGCCCAUAAGGUGAAAGAUGGUGCAGCAAACAGACAAUACCAGAGACAUGGAGAGGAAGAAGUGUGCUGUGGAGAGGCUGGGGGAGAGAAUGAUGCUGAUGCUGAUGAUGAAGGUGAGGAAAGUGCUCAGAGGACAUCAGAGGAUAGUGAGAAUGCUUCUGAGAAUGGUGAGGUUUCGGGAAGUGAUUCUGGUGAAGGCGACUCGAGGGAGGAGCAAGAGGAAGACAUAGACCAUGACGAACAUGAUAAUAAAGCAGAGAGUGAAGGCGAGGCUGAAGGGAUGGCUGAUGCUCAUGAUGUGGAAGGAGAUGGAACAUUAUUACCAUUUUCAGAACGUUUUCUACUAACUGUAAAGCCCCUUGCAAAGCAUGUCCCUUCAGCAUUACAUGAGAAAGAGAAGGGGUCACGGGUUUUUUAUGGAAAUGACUCAUUUUAUGUGCUUUUUAGGCUUCACCAAACAUUGUACGAGAGAAUACAAUCAGCAAAGAUUAAUUCAUCAUCUGCAGAUAGGAAAUGGAGGGCUUCAAGUGAUCCAAGUCCUACUGAUCUCUAUGCCCGGUUCAUGAGUGCACUUUACAAUUUACUUGAUGGCUCUUCUGAUAAUACAAAAUUUGAGGAUGAUUGCCGAGCUAUAAUUGGAACUCAGUCAUAUGUUCUGUUCACGCUGGAUAAGUUGAUAUAUAAACUUGUCAAACAGCUUCAAACCGUUGCAAGUGAUGAAAUGGACAAUAAGCUUCUUCAGCUCUAUGCCUAUGAGAAAUCAAGAAAAUCUGGAAGAUUUGUUGACGUUGUUUAUCAUGAAAAUGCCCGAGUUCUCCUUCAUGAUGAGAAUAUAUAUCGUAUUGAAUGUUCAUCCACACCAACUCGUCUUUCCAUUCAGCUUAUGGACUAUGGGCAUGAUAAGCCUGAAGUGACAGCUGUUUCCAUGGACCCUAAUUUUGCAGCAUAUUUGCACAAUGACUUUCUCUCGGUUGUUCCUGAGGAAAAAGAGAAGCCUGGGAUUUUCUUGAAGAGGAAUAUACGCAAAUGUGUAGGUGGUGAUGAGCUUUCUUCAACAUCCCAGGUGACGGAAGGACUUAAAAUAGUUAAUGGUUUGGAGUGUAAGAUUGCUUGCAGUUCUUCCAAGGUUUCGUAUGUUUUAGAUACGGAAGAUUUUUUGUUUCGGAUGAGACGGCAGCCGGCCUCACAUCAAAACAGUUCAUGCCAUAACCGGGCAAAGGUUUCAAAUGGUGGUUCAAUUAAGCUACAACGGCAACAGCGAUUUCAGAGAUUGCUACUGGCGUAUACUUUAAUGGCUUAAGUAGAUAAGAUUUUCUUUGUUUUUCAGUUGGAUAUGGGCAUGCAUUACAUACACGGGGCGCUGAGGAUGAAAGAGUUGACAGUGCCACAAGUGGAAAACCUUUUUGAAACCAUCUACAAUGUACCAUCAUAUAAUUUCUAUCACUCACCAACCAAAUAAGAAGGUAUUGAGGAAAAAGGGAUGAGGCUCAAUCAAAAGAUUGUAGUUAUAUCUUGUAAGUUGGUGGUAUUUGAGCCACUGUCGUGUACAUAAGAGAGAAUGACUAAAUGAAAACAAAAACGGGAGCUUCAUGUUUCAAUUUCACCAUCCUAACGGACCAAAAAGCCAACAGAAGAAAGGCAAAGGUACGAGUGCUCCUGGCUGGAUCCAUAUGACUCCCACAUAUCCAUUGGCAGAAG